GCUGCUGUAGCUCAGUGGUAGAGCGUGCCCUUGGUAAGGGCAAGGCCGCGAGUUCAAUCCUCGCCAGCAGCU
RNAcentral lists this transfer RNA (72 nucleotides) under Gloeobacter morelensis MG652769. Its description in RNAcentral is "tRNA-Thr". It matches the Rfam family "tRNA". From Rfam's summary of the family: Transfer RNA (tRNA) molecules are approximately 80 nucleotides in length. Their secondary structure includes four short double-helical elements and three loops (D, anti-codon, and T loops). Lineage: Bacteria; Bacillati; Cyanobacteriota; Cyanophyceae; Gloeobacterales; Gloeobacteraceae. The record is from RNAcentral.